Molecule: ribosomal RNA, 253 nt
Filed under: uncultured bacterium
Lineage: Bacteria
Description: partial 16S ribosomal RNA
Rfam family: Bacterial small subunit ribosomal RNA
Source: RNAcentral
UACGUAGGGAGCAAGCGUUGUCCGGAAUCAUUGGGCGUAAAGCGCGCGUAGGUGGCCAUGUAAGUCCGCUGUGAAAGUCAAAGGCUCAACCUUUGAAAGCCGGUGGAUACUGCAUGGCUAGAGUACGGAAGAGGCGAGUGGAAUUCCUGGUGUAGCGGUGGAAUGCGCAGAUAUCAGGAAGAACACCGAUGGCGAAGGCAGGUCACUGGGCCGCAACUGACGCUGAGGAGCGAAAGCAUGGGGAGCGAACAGG